RNAcentral lists this ribosomal RNA (904 nucleotides) under Listeria monocytogenes. Its description in RNAcentral is "partial 23S ribosomal RNA". It matches the Rfam family "Bacterial large subunit ribosomal RNA", at positions 1665 to 2567 of the family's 2925-position model. Lineage: Bacteria; Bacillati; Bacillota; Bacilli; Caryophanales; Listeriaceae. The record is from RNAcentral.
AGAUGAGGAGAGAAUCCUAAGGUGAGCGAGAGAACUCUCGUUAAGGAACUCGGCAAAAUGACCCCGUAACUUCGGGAGAAGGGGUGCUCUAUUAGGGUGCAAGCCCGAGAGAGCCGCAGUGAAUAGGCCCAGGCGACUGUUUAGCAAAAACACAGGUCUCUGCAAAACCGUAAGGUGACGUAUAGGGGCUGACGCCUGCCCGGUGCUGGAAGGUUAAGAGGAGUGCUUAGCUUCGGCGAAGGUACGAAUUGAAGCCCCAGUAAACGGCGGCCGUAACUAUAACGGUCCUAAGGUAGCGAAAUUCCUUGUCGGGUAAGUUCCGACCCGCACGAAAGGCGCAACGAUCUGGGCACUGUCUCAACGAGAGACUCGGUGAAAUUAUAGUACCUGUGAAGAUGCAGGUUACCCGCGACAGGACGGAAAGACCCCGUGGAGCUUUACUGCAACCUGAUAUGGAAUGUUUGUACCGCUUGUACAGGAUAGGUAGGAGCCGAAGAGACGUGUGCGCUAGCAUACGAGGAGGCAAUGGUGGGAUACUACCCUGGCUGUAUGACCAUUCUAACCCGCCACGCUUAGCGCGUGGGGAGACAGUGUCAGGUGGGCAGUUUGACUGGGGCGGUCGCCUCCUAAAGAGUAACGGAGGCGCCCAAAGGUUCCCUCAGAAUGGAUGGAAAUCAUUCGCAGAGUGUAAAGGCACAAGGGAGCUUGACUGCGAGACUGACAAGUCGAGCAGGGACGAAAGUCGGGCUUAGUGAUCCGGUGGUUCCGCAUGGAAGGGCCAUCGCUCAACGGAUAAAAGCUACCCCGGGGAUAACAGGCUUAUCUCCCCCAAGAGUCCACAUCGACGGGGAGGUUUGGCACCUCGAUGUCGGCUCGUCGCAUCCUGGGGCUGUAGUCGGUCCCA